GGGUGAGUAACACGUGGGUAACCUGCCCAAGAGACUGGGAUAACACCUGGAAACAGAUGCUAAUACCGGAUAACAACACUAGACGCAUGUCUAGAGUUUGAAAGAUGGUUCUGCUAUCACUCUUGGAUGGACCUGCGGUGCAUUAGCUAGUUGGUAAGGUAACGGCUUACCAAGGCAAUGAUGCAUAGCCGAGUUGAGAGACUGAUCGGCCACAUUGGGACUGAGACACGGCCCAAACUCCUACGGGAGGCAGCAGUAGGGAAUCUUCCACAAUGGACGAAAGUCUGAUGGAGCAACGCCGCGUGAGUGAAGAAGGGUUUCGGCUCGUAAAGCUCUGUUGGUAGUGAAGAAAGAUAGAGGUAGUAACUGGCCUUUAUUUGACGGUAAUUACUUAGAAAGUCACGGCUAACUACGUGCCAGCAGCCGCGGUAAUACGUAGGUGGCAAGCGUUGUCCGGAUUUAUUGGGCGUAAAGCGAGUGCAGGCGGUUCAAUAAGUCUGAUGUGAAAGCCUUCGGCUCAACCGGAGAAUUGCAUCAGAAACUGUUGAACUUGGGUGCAGAAGAGGAGAGUGGAACUCCAUGUGUAGCGGUGGAAUGCGUAGAUAUAUGGAAGAACACCAGUGGCGAAGGCGGCUCUCUGGUCUGCAACUGACGCUGAGGCUCGAAAGCAUGGGCAGCGAACAGGAUUAGAUACCCUGGUAGUCCAUGCCGUAAACGAU
This 719-nucleotide ribosomal RNA is filed under the name uncultured bacterium. RNAcentral's name for it is "bacterial SSU rRNA". It matches the Rfam family "Bacterial small subunit ribosomal RNA", at positions 104 to 810 of the family's 1533-position model. The record is from RNAcentral.